Molecule: ribosomal RNA, 101 nt
Filed under: Caerostris darwini
Lineage: Eukaryota; Metazoa; Arthropoda; Arachnida; Araneae; Araneidae
Source: RNAcentral
ACGGUCGUAUCAUGCUAAAUAUACCGGUUCUCGUUAGAUUACCGAAGUCAAGCAUCAUUGGGCGCGGUCAGUACUUGGGUGGGUGACCACCUGGAAACACC